RNAcentral lists this ribosomal RNA (515 nucleotides) under Simulium kiuliense. RNAcentral describes it as "partial 16S ribosomal RNA". It matches the Rfam family "Bacterial large subunit ribosomal RNA", at positions 1815 to 2594 of the family's 2925-position model. The record is from RNAcentral. Lineage: Eukaryota; Metazoa; Arthropoda; Insecta; Diptera; Simuliidae.
ACAUGUCUUUUUGGUUAUUUAAUAGAAAGUCUGACCUGCCCACUGAAUAUAAUUUUAAAGGGCCGCAGUAUUUUGACUGUGCAAAGGUAGCAUAAUCAUUAGUCUUUUAAUUGAAGGCUGGUAUGAAUGGUUGGAUGAGAUACAAGCUGUGUCAUAAAAAUUAAUAUUUGAAUUUACCUUUUUAGUCAAAAGGCUAAAAUUUUAUUAAAAGACGAGAAGACCCUAUAGAGCUUUAUAUAGUUAAUAUUUAAAUUAUUAAUAUUUUUUAAAUUUAAUUAUUUUAUUAUAUUUUGUUGGGGUGACAAUAAAAUUUAUAAAACUUUUAUUAUUAUUAUUCAUUAAUUUAUGUUUAAAUGAUCCAAUUUUAUUGAUUAUAAAUUUAAGUUACCUUAGGGAUAACAGCGUAAUUUUUUUUGAGAGUUCUUAUCGACAAAAAAGAUUGCGACCUCGAUGUUGGAUUAAGAGUAAUUUUGGGUGUAGAAGUUCAAAGUUUAAGUCUGUUCGACUUUUAAAUU